ACUGCCAGCGACAAGUUGGAGGAAGGAGAGGAUGACGUCAAGUCAUCAUGGCCUUUAUGCCUAGGGCCACACACGUGCAACAAUGGCCGGUACAGACGGAGGCAAUGCCGAGAGGCGGAGCAAACCCGNGAAAACCGGUCCCAGUUCGGAUUGAGGUCUGCAACUCGACCUCAUGAAGUCGGAAUCGCUAGUAAUCGCAUAUCAGAACGAUGCGGUGAAUACGUUCCCGGGCCUUGUACACACCGCCCGUCACACCACGAAAGUUUGUUGUACCCGAAGUCGGUGCCUUAACCUCGCAAGAGGAGAGAGCCGCCCAAGGUAUGGCCGAUGAUUGGGGUGAAGUCGUAACAAGGUAGCCGUAGGGGAACCUGCGGCUGGAUCACCUCCUUUCUAGGAGAGAAGGGUCCUGGAUGAAGCGCUCCUAUUUAGUCUUGUGAAGGAUC
RNAcentral lists this ribosomal RNA (443 nucleotides) under uncultured bacterium. RNAcentral describes it as "bacterial SSU rRNA". The stretch from base 1 to 390 matches the Rfam family "Bacterial small subunit ribosomal RNA", at positions 1148 to 1533 of the family's 1533-position model. The record is from RNAcentral.